GCCUGGCGGCGUGCUAUACAUGCAGUCGAGCGGACAGAUGGGAGCUUGCUCCCUGAUGUUAGCGGCGGACGGGUGAGUAACACGUGGGUAACCUGCCUGUAAGACUGGGAUAACUCCGGGAAACCGGGGCUAAUACCGGAUGGUUGUCUGAACCGCAUGGUUCAGACAUAAAAGGUGGCUUCGGCUACCACUUACAGAUGGACCCGCGGCGCAUUAGCUAGUUGGUGAGGUAACGGCUCACCAAGGCGACGAUGCGUAGCCGACCUGAGAGGGUGAUCGGCCACACUGGGACUGAGACACGGCCCAGACUCCUACGGGAGGCAGCAGUAGGGAAUCUUCCGCAAUGGACGAAAGUCUGACGGAGCAACGCCGCGUGAGUGAUGAAGGUUUUCGGAUCGUAAAGCUCUGUUGUUAGGGAAGAACAAGUGCCGUUCAAAUAGGGCGGCACCUUGACGGUACCUAACCAGAAAGCCACGGCUAACUACGUGCCAGCAGCCGCGGUAAUACGUAGGUGGCAAGCGUUGUCCGGAAUUAUUGGGCGUAAAGGGCUCGCAGGCGGUUUCUUAAGUCUGAUGUGAAAGCCCCCGGCUCAACCGGGGAGGGUCAUUGGAAACUGGGGAACUUGAGUGCAGAAGAGGAGAGUGGAAUUCCACGUGUAGCGGUGAAAUGCGUAGAGAUGUGGAGGAACACCAGUGGCGAAGGCGACUCUCUGGUCUGUAACUGACGCUGAGGAGCGAAAGCGUGGGGAGCGAACAGGAUUAGAUACCCUGGUAGUCCACGCCGUAAACGAUGAGUGCUAA
Molecule: ribosomal RNA, 800 nt
Filed under: Priestia megaterium
Lineage: Bacteria; Bacillati; Bacillota; Bacilli; Caryophanales; Bacillaceae
Description: bacterial SSU rRNA
Rfam family: Bacterial small subunit ribosomal RNA
Source: RNAcentral